CAGUCGCCACGGGAAUACCAGCAGCCCAAGUGGUGGUCGCGCUUAUUGGGCCUAAAGCGCUCGUAGCCUGGCCGGUAAGUUCCCCGUGAAAUCGGGUCGCCCAACGAUUCGGCUUGCGGGGAAUACUGUCGGUCUUGGGGCCGGGAGACGCCGAGGGUACUCCGGGGGUAGCGGUGAAAUGCUGUAAUCCUCGGGGGACUACCAGUGGCGAAGGCGCUCGGCGAUAACGGGCCUGACGGUGAGGGGCGAAAGCUGGGGGCGCGAACGGGAUUAGAUACCCGAGUAGUCCCUGUCUCUUAUA
This 301-nucleotide ribosomal RNA is filed under the name uncultured bacterium. RNAcentral describes it as "partial 16S ribosomal RNA". It matches the Rfam family "Archaeal small subunit ribosomal RNA", at positions 459 to 759 of the family's 1478-position model. The record is from RNAcentral.